GACGAACGCUGGCGGCGUGCUUAACACAUGCCAGUCGAACGGUGAAGCGCUUGCCUUUUUGGUGGGUGUGGAUGAGUGGCGAACGGGUGAGUAACACGUGAGUAACCUGCCCUCUUCUUCUGGAUAACCUCAUGAAAGUGGGGCUAAUACGGGGUAUUCCGGGUCUGUCGCAUGGCGGGUUUGGGAAAGAUUGCGCCUUUGGGUGUUUUCGGUGGGGGAUGGGCUCGCGGCCUAUCAGCUUGUUGGUGGGGUGAUGGCCUACCAAGGCGGUGACGGGUAGCCGGCCUGAGAGGGUGGACGGCCACACUGGGACUGAGACACGGCCCAGACUCCUGCGGGAGGCAGCAGUGGGGAAUAGUGCACAAUGGGCGCAAGCCUGAUGCAGCGACGCCGCGUGAGGGAUGGAGGCCUUCGGGUUGUGAACCUCUUUCGCCAGUGAAGCAGGCCUGCUCCUGUGUGGGUGGGUUGACGGUAGCUGGAUAAGAAGCGCCGGCUAACUACGUG
This 504-nucleotide ribosomal RNA is filed under the name uncultured bacterium. RNAcentral's name for it is "partial 16S ribosomal RNA". It matches the Rfam family "Bacterial small subunit ribosomal RNA", at positions 28 to 507 of the family's 1533-position model. The record is from RNAcentral.